RNAcentral lists this ribosomal RNA (700 nucleotides) under uncultured Nitratireductor sp. Its description in RNAcentral is "bacterial SSU rRNA". It matches the Rfam family "Bacterial small subunit ribosomal RNA", at positions 60 to 805 of the family's 1533-position model. Lineage: Bacteria; Pseudomonadati; Pseudomonadota; Alphaproteobacteria; Hyphomicrobiales; Phyllobacteriaceae. The record is from RNAcentral.
AGUCGAGCGCCCCCGCAAGGGGGAGCGGCGGACGGGUGAGUAACGCGUGGGAAUUUUCCUCAAGGUACGGAACAACUCAGGGAAACUUGGGCUAAUACCGUAUGAUGCAGAGAUGCCAAAGAUUUAUCGCCUUGGGAUAAGCCCGCGUCAGAUUAGGUAGUUGGUGGGGUAACGGCCUACCAAGCCUGCGAUCUGUAGCUGGUCUGAGAGGACGAUCAGCCACACUGGGACUGAGACACGGCCCAGACUCCUACGGGAGGCAGCAGUGGGGAAUCUUGCGCAAUGGGCGAAAGCCUGACGCAGCCAUGCCGCGUGAAUGAUGAAGGUCUUAGGAUUGUAAAGUUCUUUCGCUCGUGACGAUGAUGACGGUAACGAGAGAAGAAGCCCCGGCUAACUUCGUGCCAGCAGCCGCGGUAAUACGAAGGGGGCUAGCGUUGUUCGGAAUUACUGGGCGUAAAGCGCGCGUAGGCGGUUUUGCAAGCCAGAGGUGAAAUGCCUGAGCUCAACUUAGGAAUUGCCUUUGGGACUGCGAGGCUUUGAGGACGAGAGAGGUGAGUGGAAUUCCCAGUGUAGAGGUGAAAUUCGUAGAUAUUGGGAAGAACACCGGUGGCGAAGGCGGCUCACUGGCUCGUUUCUGACGCUGUAGCGCGAAAGCGUGGGGAUCAAACAGGAUUAGAUACCCUGGUAGUCCACGCCGUAA